Okibacterium fritillariae is the source of this 368-nucleotide non-coding RNA. Lineage: Bacteria; Bacillati; Actinomycetota; Actinomycetes; Micrococcales; Microbacteriaceae. The record is from Rfam.
CGGGCCGGCUAGACGGUCGCGUCAUCCGCCUUCGGGUGUGAUGCCGAGGAACGUCCGGGCUCCGCAGAGCAGGAUGGUGGGUAACACCCACCCGGGGCAACCCGCGAGACAGUGCCACAGAAAGUAGACCGCCGCCGGGCAACCGGCGGUAAGGGUGAAACGGUGGUGUAAGAGACCACCAGAGGCCAGGGUGACCUGGUCGGCUCGGUAAACCUCGUCCGGAGCAAGGUCAGACAGAACACCAUGGGGCUGCUCGUCCCGUGUUCGGGUAGACCGCUAGAGGGCUGCGGCAACGUAGUCCCGAGAGAGAUGGCCGUCACGGUCGCGCAAGCGGCCGACAGAACCCGGCGUAUCGGCCGACCCGUUCA